Molecule: long non-coding RNA, 2506 nt
Organism: Neofelis nebulosa (Clouded leopard)
Lineage: Eukaryota; Metazoa; Chordata; Mammalia; Carnivora; Felidae
Exons: 2
Source: RefSeq, a predicted model, not a curated record
GCUGUGGGGAGGGGGCUGGGCUGGGAAAAGAGCUGAGUCAUCAACCGCAGUCACAGGAAGCCCGGGCCAAUAGGUAAUGCCUGAGAUGGAUAAAUCGAGAAACAGCAGUCUGGAGAAAGUUUUUCAGAACGAAGAGCCUGAGGGCGCCACAGCUGGCUGGGGGUGGGCAGCCAGGGUUGCUGGGGUGGUUUACAUGCCCUGCAGCAGCACUUUGGUUUUAAACUGCAUGCACGUAUUCAUUUUGAUAAAAUAAAAACGACUGUUUUAAUUUAAAAAAUUUUUAAAUUUAUUUUGAGAGAGCAAGCACAAGUGACAAAGGAACAGAGCAAAAGGGAGAGAAAGCCCAAGUGGGGGAGGAACAUACAGGGAGGGGGAGAGAGAGAAUCCCAGGCAGACUCCACACUGUCAGCACAGAGCCCAAUGUGGGGCUCGAACCCACGAACCAUGAGAUCAAGACCUGAGUCGAAACCAAAAGUCAGACGCCUAACCGACUGAGCCACCCAGGUGCCCCCGACAAAAAAAAAUUUUUAAUCCAUGACCCCGAGAUCAAGAGUCACAAGCUCUACCAACUGAACCAGCCAGGCGCCCCAAAACUAAUUUUAAAUAAAAGGGGAAAAAGACCCACAGAGGGAACCAGAAGCCCCAGCCUAGCUCUGUAGUAGUGAAUGUCUACAGCCAGUCAGGCAGGAAUUGCUUACCACAGGCCCUAAAGGGCAUUCACACUACAGGCUGGGCAACGUGGCCCUCCCCACUUCCCCCAGGGCAGACCCAGGCUACCGGGAACUUCUCCCUCGUGGCCUGGCAUUCCCCUGCCCCUCAGCACAGUGGACCACCCCCAGCGGAUGGUGCAGUCCAGGCCUGGCAAGGACUCCGGGGCUCACCAAGGGUCUUCCCCCAGGUGCCCACAGAAAGACAACUUCACAACUUCUAGCAAGUCCUGCCCCCUAGAGUGAGAGACUCAUCCUUUCAGCACAGAUGGAACAUUUGGUUGGUAAAAAGAAGAUACGGCAGUGCCAGUGGACCACAGCUGAACAGAAACUCAGAACCGAUCACUGCUCCAUACAGUUGCCAUAGGACACGCGUUGAGGGGGUGGUCUUUUCUCAGUGACCCCUGUGACCUGGGCAGGCUCUCGUUACCACAAAGGACAUGGCUCAACAAAAAGGCAUUGUAAAACACAGAGGGCAUUGAGGUAAGAAACAAAGAUAAUUAAAGGGCCUGCAGUAGGAAAGCAGUUUUGUUCAGCCUCAUGGAGAGAAAAGGCCGAAAGGCCAUUUUUCAAUGUGUUUAUGCAAAGAUUUUAUGAGGCGGCCACGGUUCACUGGCUCUGUGUGUUAGCAGAAGGAUAAACAUGAACAAACGGGCUUAAGGUUAGGCAUAAAUGCUCGCUGUGGGGCAAAAGAACAGCUUUGCAAUUCUAAUCGGGGACACCUAGCAAACGGACUCUUCACUUCUUCUUGGCCCGCCCUUGUUCAGCCAUGGUUUCCACUGUUGAGAUCCUAUCCGAUGAUCUGUGUUGGUCUUUUUUCUCGCAAGCUGCUCCACAGUCUGAAUAGUUACCUGGCCUGCACGUGGCGUGUUAAUCUAGUGGGCCCACUGCUGCUUUCCCACCCCUGGUUCUGCUGCUUUCCAGUUUUCACCAUUACCACGGAAUGUCCGGUGCGUAUUAGGCCGUGGCCGCCCCCAGGAGAGGAACCUUCUGGAAGAGAAGGUGAGGGCACCGCAUGGCUUCUGAAGUGUAUCCCAGGUUGCUUAAGGAAGCAUUUGCUGGUAGAGGAGAUGCCCCAUAAAUGUUGAAGAAACGAACGACUGAUCACUGGCAAGUGUGACUGCCAUUGCCGAGCUAAGGACAGACAGCAACCUGCAGGAUGCAUCCAGGCCCUGCCAUCCUGGCCUCUGCCUGCGGUCACUAUCUUCAACCUAAGACCACUUGGUACCCCUGCGGGCUGCCGGUAAGUGUCAGACUAGUCCUCCAGAAUUCGAUCUAGGUUUUAGAACCUUAUGCACAGGGCCUUUAAACAAGCAGUUUGGGAGGCUUCAACUUGGGUGAGCCUUUCGUUGGCUGGGGAAGACCGCGAAGCUUCUCAGAGUUUGGAGAUCUGAGUGUUGGGAAGGCGGGGGUCUAAGAAGACAGCUGCAGACAGGAAGUGACUUCGGAGACCCGGGCCCCGCGCACAAAGGAAACCGUCUUACUGCAUCACAUCACGCAGCACUUCUCACAGUGUGUUUUCCAGAGUUAAAAACACAAGCGCGAGCCAGACAAACCUAACCUGAGACUAUAAUUCUGCCAUGUGGAAAACAAGCCUUCGUAGAGUCGUUUAAACUUCUUACCCGCAUUCCGUACAAUUAAGCUUGAGAAAACAUUCUAUCUUUUGCAUGUGAUGGAAACCACAGGAAGAAAAUAACUAUAUGCCAAAGUUGUGCACCAUAUGAUUUUAUGCUUUUGGUGUUAUGUUAAAAAUAAAUAAAUAACAUAAUACAACACAUAAAUAAAGCCUUUGCUUUAAA